RNAcentral lists this ribosomal RNA (426 nucleotides) under uncultured Actinomycetes bacterium. RNAcentral's name for it is "bacterial SSU rRNA". It matches the Rfam family "Bacterial small subunit ribosomal RNA", at positions 233 to 671 of the family's 1533-position model. Lineage: Bacteria; Bacillati; Actinomycetota; Actinomycetes. The record is from RNAcentral.
GCGGCCUAUCAGCUUGUUGGUGAGGUAAUGGCUCACCAAGGCAACGACGGGUAGCCGGCCUGAGAGGGCGACCGGCCACACUGGGACUGAGACACGGCCCAGACUCCUACGGGAGGCAGCAGUGGGGAAUGUUGGGCAAUGGAGGCAACUCUGACCCAGCGACGCCGCGUGCGGGAUGAAGGCCUUCGGGUUGUAAACUGCUUUCAGUAGGGAAGAAGCGAAAGUGACGGUACCUACAAAAGAAGCACCGGCUAACUAUGUGCCAGCAGCCGCGGUAAUACAUAGGGUGCAAGCGUUGUCCGGAAUUAUUGGGCGUAAAGAGCUCGUAGGUCGUUUGUUACGUCGGAUGUGAAAACCUGAGGCUCAACCUCAGGCCUGCAUUCGAUACGGGCAAACUAGAGUUUGGUAGGGGAGACUGGAAUUCCU